GAUUGGUACUGCAAGACUUGCGUGGGUUUGAGACUAAUGGCAAACUCAAGAAGAAGUCUGAAAAAGAUGAGAACUGUGGAUUUAAAAAAGUGGUUUGAGGCAUGAUUAACCCGAAACGGGAAAAGACUGAAGCUGUGACUUGUGAUGCAAGGGGAAAAAAAUCAGGAGGGGUGGAGUUUUAAAUGGCCUUGGAGAAAAGUACAAGAACUGUUACACUCCUGCAGGAAAAUAAGGAAAUCUAGUAGAAAGAUAACAGAAGAUGAUCAGAAUUUUUGUUCAUUGUUUUGCUUUUUGUCAACCAAAAUUCUGCAAUACUAGAGGGCAUUAGAAGCAGAGAUUAUGAGAAGCACAGCUGCAGAUAUACAGGACACAGCUAAAAACAGCUUCUAGAGGAUGUUUUAUUUGCUUCUCUGCUUCAGCAGAAGACAACCGUACGCUCAGUGAGAGACUAAAAGCAGCCUGUAAUCAUCAACCAGUCAGUCAGACACAACUCUCCUGGGCAGAGUGAGAAAGGAUGCACAGCCUGCAGAUCUUCCAGCAGGUUUGAAGGUAAGAGGAACAGAGUAUCUGGACAAGGAGAGAAGCAUGCAGGAGGGAGAUGUGAGAAGGUGAGUCUGUUUCACCUAGUGCUAUUAAGGAGCCAGCUUUGUUGCCAUUGCAACAUCACUUGCAAAACACAAGUCCAAUCCCUAAUGAGCUUAACUUUAAAAAUAAGAGAAAGCCUUUCUUGCUUCAGAGUACUUGUUAUGUUCUCAGAAUGUGUUGUUCUCUUUCCAAAAACUUUUCAUCUUAAAGUGAAUUUUCGCCAACCGGUCUGAGAUGAAGCUCUGUGAAACAACAUGGCAAAAGAACAAGGCUGCGUGCCAUUCAACUUUAAUAAGUCAUGGGAGAAGAUAUUGUUUAGCCUUUCAGAGUUUAUACUUUCAGAUCUGUAACUGUAAGUAAUUAAAAGGAGGCAAGCCAUCUUGAUCUGUCUAUGCUCCAGCUCUUACAGGGCCCAGUGUCCUGCAUCUGGCAUGGCUCAAGGGUCUGAGUCCUUUUUGAAAGGGAAGGGACUAAUUGGAUUGGCUGCUCCUUGCUAGUGGUGCAGGCAGCUCUGUGGGCAGUGGGGAGAGUUCAUGGGGUGUCCAGGCUGGCUAGGGAAAAAGAAGAACAUUGCUAAACUUUUCCCUUCUUGCAAAGCAGCUUUUUUGUUUUGAAAUAAAUAUAAAAUAAAAUAUCUCCAAUAUUUUGGACCCUUGUGCAAAGCUUUGGAUCCUGAAGAUCUGGGCUGGGGAGUGAGUGCACAUGCAAAGCCACAGCACAGCUGUGGCCCCACACCACCUUUGGAAGGCAUGUGUGACCAGCAGCUGGGAGCAGGCUGGGGAGGCAUGCAGAGGUGGCAGAUCUCCUUAGGAGUCUGGUCUGGCUUGUAAAAUGCACCAGGAAGGAUCCUGGAGUUCUAGUCCACAGAGUCACCUAGGGCAAAACAAGAGGCAGGACAGAGAUUUGGGAGGCUAAAUCUAGACAUCUUACAACAAGCAAGACUUUCAUGGCAAAAACCUCUCUGAAAGGUUUACAGUACUUUCUGCACAGAGCAAAAGACAGAAGCCAAAAGACAGGGGUUUAAUGUCCAGCAGAAAAGAUUGUAGAUGAGCAGGGACUCAGAAUCAUAGGAAUGAGGCGUUCUUCUGUUAUGCAGAAUAUGUAUUACAGGCAUAUGAACUCUGUAUAGACAUUUAAAGACACCAAACUUCUAGCACUUGAAACAAGAACAUUGUGAAUGAGUUUUUAAACUGAAGAGAAUUAAAGGAAGCUGGUGGGUAUGAAAGACCUCACAGUCUGAGACGAUUCUUUUGUACUGGAUUCCAUACCCAAACAGGAGACAGAUUAGAACAUUGAUAGUCACCUAAGAAGUGGAAAACUGUCAUUUGGUCUGCAUGCUUCUGGAGGAUGAACAAUCAGGAGCAGGAGAACACACUGAUGAGAGAGAAUGGGCCAUUCUUGAACUUGGAUGAGGUGAUCCUAGAAAACCAGUAAGAAGCACAGCAGAGCAGAGAGAAGCCAACAAGCACAGAGCAACAGGCAGCAGAUCUUAUGCAUGCAAUUCAACUUCCAGGGCCACCCACUGCUUCACCACAGGAAUUGGGAUGGACUGAGUGUAUCCUGCAGCAAGAAUAAGGGAAACUGAGACUAAGAAGUAAGGAGGAUAUAUUCUCUCUUUGUUGUCUAAUACCUGGAUCAAUUAUCAAAAUUUUCUGUUAAUUAGUAAUUAAUUAAAUAAGAAAAAAUUGCCUACUUUUUGCUUGUGAUGCUAGCAAGUGCAAUAGCCAAACAUUCAUUUCACAACACUAUGGACAUCCUUUGGCAUAAUCUGCUUUGAUAAAGUGGAGGUACAUUAAAGUCUUUGGCAACUACAGGUACACUCACUCCUUACACUGUCUGAGAACUCUAAAGAGGGUUCUGGUAGUAGUAGAGAAAAGCCAGCUAAGCAGUCGAACCUAAAGCAAGCUUUGACUACAUCAAUAUGCUGACUACAUCAAUAUGCUGAUUAAUGCAACUAACAGAUAUGUUGGUUUGAGUUUACUGCUGCACUUCUGUUAUUACUCAGUUUUGAAACUACAUCUGGUUUAUAUCUGUUUCGGAGCCGUGAAACAGACACACAAAGGACUGCGCCCAUCUCUAGACAUUUCCUACUGGGCUUGUUUCUACCAUGCUCUGAGCAUGACCUGCUGAGUGUUUGCUCUGUGAGGAACUAAAAUUCUGGCCUCUGGUCUGACUAUGGAAAAGCCUCUGAACAUGUUGGAGAGAAUGUCUGGACAUGGACUCUGUGAAGGUUGAGAGCUGUAGAAUACAGGAAUUUUAUGGGUAUGACUAGAAUUUUUGUUUAAUUUGUGUGUAUGUUUUAAAAAAUGCAAAUUCUGAAAUUAAAUAAAGAAUAACAAAGAA
Molecule: long non-coding RNA, 2928 nt
Organism: Pipra filicauda (Wire-tailed manakin)
Lineage: Eukaryota; Metazoa; Chordata; Aves; Passeriformes; Pipridae
Exons: 3
Source: RefSeq, a predicted model, not a curated record